AGAGAACUAAAGAAAUUAUCAAACCAUUAUUCAUAGGUGAAUUCUACUGAAAAAUAUUCUUUAACUAUUAAACUCAAAAUAUUUUCUACAUAUCUGUUAUGUAGAUAUUAAUAAACAACAUUUAUUUAGAAAUCCAGAAGAAAAAUGACACCCUAGCUGGGGUAGUUGGGAAUGUGGAUAAGAAGAAAGAGAAGUUUAUGUCAGGGAGGCUACUGCAAAUUGGUCUUAUAAUUACAAAAGAAAAGAACCAUCCAUUCUAGAGAUAACAUAAUAAAAGGUAAUUUUCCAUUGCAUCGGUUCUUCUGGUGUUUUCAGGAUCUGUGCCAAAUGCGAGGCUGCCCUUGCCACUAAGGACUUCUAACAUUGCAACUAUCAAGAUGAUGAUGAACUCAUCAAUAGAUGGAGACAGACUGCUGUAUUUUGAAGGACUCUGGAUAAUAAAUAGCUCAUAG
This 452-nucleotide long non-coding RNA is filed under the name Papio anubis (olive baboon). RNAcentral's name for it is "lncRNA (ENSPANG00000045257.1)". The record is from RNAcentral. Lineage: Eukaryota; Metazoa; Chordata; Mammalia; Primates; Cercopithecidae.